CUACCGCUGUGCACCGACCCCUAAUUUCACCGCUGCUUUUACCGGCGCGCCCCAACACAUAGAUUCAGACGUGCAGCAGACGUGGCUUUAUUACGCAAACAGAUGGGUGUCAGGAGCAGGGACCCGAGGGGAGGCAGGAGGACAGAGAGGGCGUAGGCGUCGGUACCAGGCUGAAGAGUGCCCGGCGGCCAGUGGAAGGUGAGGGCGGUGGACCUGCCUGCAGCGAACUGAGCGCCGCCUGACGAUGCUCUCGGGAUACGUCUCCGCGCAGGUCCAAGAGGGCGGAGACAUGAUCCUCGCUGCAGGAAAACCACCACGUGCGUCAGUCAGCCCAGCCCUCGUCCUCCUGGGCCGCUCCUCCCCUGUCCCCUUCCCCGCACCUCACGUCGGGAAAUUGUUGCCUCAGGCCUGCCACCUCGAGGCCAAGCAGUGUGGGGUCGUGGAGGUUGAGUAGUUCCCUCAGCGCAAGCAAAACGGGCGCGCAGUGAGCGCUCUCCUCCAGCCCCUGCACACGUGGGAACAGGGUUUCCAGCCAGCCCCCGGCUCCCACCGGACUACAGAGAUCCUCGACUGUCUGCCCUCCCAGCGAGCCCUCACCAAACCGAGGAAAAGCUCUUUAAGCUGGGCAGCAUCGUGCCGAAGGCGUUCAGCAGCCUGGCUCCGCUCGUCCGGCCCGCGGCACACGAGGCGGCCCUGCAUCAGCGCCCUUAGACUGGGAUGGCAACCUCACCUGGAGCUCAACCUGCAGUACUUCCAAAACCAGGCGGCAGAUCCUCCUCUGUACGUCGUCCAGCGCGGCUUCCACUGGAGCUAAGACCCCGGAAGCUUCCCCGUCGGGCAGCAGGACCGAGACCGAAGAUCUGGACCAAAAAGUGCGACUUCAGGACCAAGGCCAAGGCUCGCAUGGCCCUCUAGGAUUCAUCCGUUCUGGCGCCACCUUGUGGUGCAGUGUCUGGUGGGAGCGGGGCAGGAAGGGCGGCUCUGAAUUUAUGAAGGGCUCAGGUAUUCUGUAAGGCUAUGCUCAGUGGACUCGCCUCUAAUGUUACAAGCUAAGCUAUUCUUCCUUCUAUUUUGUUUUAGAGGGGAAUUUAAUCUUAGUCAGGAUAAAAGUUCUCGGCUUGUAUGUCUAUCCUCUCUGUGCCCACCCCCAAGAGCAUAACAAGAUAGCCAGGUCUGGUGGAGGCUGAAGAAAGAACAUUGCUACCAGUUUGAGGCUAGCCUGAACUAGACUGAAACUCUUGUUUCAAAGCAGGAGGAAAAAUUUCUUGUCCCUAGCUGUAAUGUCAGACAUCUGAUACAGAGUAGAGCUUUGAUAAAUAUUUGCUGAAA
Mastomys coucha (southern multimammate mouse) is the source of this 1329-nucleotide long non-coding RNA. RefSeq lists it as uncharacterized. The transcript has 2 exons. NCBI's taxonomy places the organism in Eukaryota, Metazoa, Chordata, Mammalia, Rodentia, Muridae. The record is from RefSeq and is a predicted model, not a curated record.